RNAcentral lists this ribosomal RNA (426 nucleotides) under Bradyrhizobium yuanmingense. RNAcentral describes it as "bacterial SSU rRNA". It matches the Rfam family "Bacterial small subunit ribosomal RNA", at positions 16 to 486 of the family's 1533-position model. Lineage: Bacteria; Pseudomonadati; Pseudomonadota; Alphaproteobacteria; Hyphomicrobiales; Nitrobacteraceae. The record is from RNAcentral.
AUCCUGGCUCAGAGCGAACGCUGGCGGCAGGCUUAACACAUGCAAGUCGAGCGGGCGUAGCAAUACGUCAGCGGCAGACGGGUGAGUAACGCGUGGGAACGUACCUUUUGGUUCGGAACAACACAGGGAAACUUGUGCUAAUACCGGAUAAGCCCUUACGGGGAAAGAUUCAUCGCCGAAAGAUCGGCCCGCGUCUGAUUAGCUAGUUGGUGAGGUAAUGGCUCACCAAGGCGACGAUCAGUAGCUGGUCUGAGAGGAUGAUCAGCCACAUUGGGACUGAGACACGGCCCAAACUCCUACGGGAGGCAGCAGUGGGGAAUAUUGGACAAUGGGGGCAACCCUGAUCCAGCCAUGCCGCGUGAGUGAUGAAGGCCCUAGGGUUGUAAAGCUCUUUUGUGCGGGAAGAUAAUGACGGUACCGCAAGAA